CGGGACGUAGCGCAGUUUGGUAGCGCACUUGACUGGGGGUCAAGGGGUCGUGGGUUCAAAUCCCGCCGUCCCGAC
RNAcentral lists this transfer RNA (75 nucleotides) under Dactylosporangium fulvum. Its description in RNAcentral is "tRNA-Pro". It matches the Rfam family "tRNA". From Rfam's summary of the family: Transfer RNA (tRNA) molecules are approximately 80 nucleotides in length. Their secondary structure includes four short double-helical elements and three loops (D, anti-codon, and T loops). The record is from RNAcentral. RNAcentral also lists the same sequence under 10 other names. Lineage: Bacteria; Bacillati; Actinomycetota; Actinomycetes; Micromonosporales; Micromonosporaceae.